GAGGGGCAGCGGGGGCGUAGCAAUAUGCCUGCCGGCGACCGGCGCACGGGUGAGUAACACGUAUGUAACCUGCCCUAUGCAGGGGGAUAACCCGGAGAAAUCCGGCCUAAUACCGCGUAAUACCUUAGGGGAGCAUUCUCUUGAGGUUAAAGGAGAGAUCCGGCAUAGGAUGGACAUGCGUCGCAUUAGGUAGACGGCGGGGUAACGGCCCACCGUGCCGACGAUGCGUAGGGGUUCUGAGAGGAAGGCCCCCCACACUGGUACUGAGACACGGACCAGACUCCUACGGGAGGCAGCAGUGAGGAAUAUUGGUCAAUGGCCGAGAGGCUGAACCAGCCAAGUCGCGUGAGGGAAGAAUGUCCUAAGGAUUGUAAACCUCUUUUGUCGGGGAGCAAAAAGGCUCUGCGGAGUCGUAUUGAGAGUACCCGAAGAAAAAGCAUCGGCUAACUCCGUGCCAGCAGCCGCGGUAAUACGGAGGAUGCGAGCGUUAUCCGGAUUUAUUGGGUUUAAAGGGUGCGCAGGCGGCGUGU
Molecule: ribosomal RNA, 530 nt
Filed under: uncultured bacterium
Lineage: Bacteria
Description: bacterial SSU rRNA
Rfam family: Bacterial small subunit ribosomal RNA
Source: RNAcentral